This 200-nucleotide ribosomal RNA is filed under the name uncultured bacterium. RNAcentral describes it as "partial 16S ribosomal RNA". It matches the Rfam family "Bacterial small subunit ribosomal RNA", at positions 29 to 233 of the family's 1533-position model. The record is from RNAcentral.
AGCGAACGUUUGCGGCGGGCCUAACACAUGCAAGUCGAACGCGCUAGCAAUAGUGAGUGGCGCACGGGUGCGUAACACGUGGGUAAUCAACCCUUCAGCUUGGGAUAACGACUUGAAAGGGUCGCUAAUACCGGAUACGGCGCGAGAGGCUUCGGCAUCUCACGAGAAAGCCUCGCAAGGGGCACUGAAGGACGAGCCUG